ACGCUCGACACCUACGGGAUGCAGCAGUGGGGAAUAUUGCACAAUGGGGGAAACCCUGAUGCAGCGACGCCGCGUGAGCGAAGAAGUAUUUCGGUAUGUAAAGCUCUAUCAGCAGGGAAGAAACUGACGGUACCUGACUAAGAAGCACCGGCUAAAUACGUGCCAANAGCCGCGGUAAUCUGAGCGGGCUGGCAAGGC
This 198-nucleotide ribosomal RNA is filed under the name uncultured bacterium. RNAcentral's name for it is "partial 16S ribosomal RNA". It matches the Rfam family "Bacterial small subunit ribosomal RNA", at positions 326 to 539 of the family's 1533-position model. The record is from RNAcentral.